UCUGAAUAUGGGGGGACCAUCCUCCAAGGCUAAAUACUCCUGACUGACCGAUAGUGAACCAGUACCGUGAGGGAAAGGCGAAAAGAACCCCGGCGAGGGGAGUGAAAAAGAACCUGAAACCGUGUACGUACAAGCAGUGGGAGCCUCUUAAUGGGGUGACUGCGUACCUUUUGUAUAAUGGGUCAGCGACUUAUAUUCUGUAGCAAGGUUAACCGAAUAGGGGAGCCGAAGGGAAACCGAGUCUUAACUGGGCGUUAAGUUGCAGGGUAUAGACCCGAAACCCGGUGAUCUAGCCAUGGGCAGGUUGAAGGUUGGGUAACACUAACUGGAGGACCGAACCGACUAAUGUUGAAAAAUUAGCGGAUGACUUGUGGCUGGGGGUGAAAGGCCAAUCAAACCGGGAGAUAGCUGGUUCUCCCCGAAAGCUAUUUAGGUAGCGCCUCGUGAAUUCAUCUCCGGGGGUAGAGCACUGUUUCGGCAAGGGGGUCAUCCCGACUUACCAACCCGAUGCAAACUGCGAAUACCGGAGAAUGUUAUCACGGGAGACACACGGCGGGUGCUAACGUCCGUCGUGAAGAGGGAAACAACCCAGACCGCCAGCUAAGGUCCCAAAGUCAUGGUUAAGUGGGAAACGAUGUGGGAAGGCCCAGACAGCCAGGAUGUUGGCUUAGAAGCAGCCAUCAUUUAAAGAAAGCGUAAUAGCUCACUGGUCGAGUCGGCCUGCGCGGAAGAUGUAACGGGGCUAAACCAUGCACCGAAGCUGCGGCAGCGACACUAUGUGUUGUUGGGUAGGGGAGCG
This 799-nucleotide ribosomal RNA is filed under the name Escherichia coli. RNAcentral describes it as "partial 23S ribosomal RNA". It matches the Rfam family "Bacterial large subunit ribosomal RNA", at positions 437 to 1238 of the family's 2925-position model. The record is from RNAcentral. Lineage: Bacteria; Pseudomonadati; Pseudomonadota; Gammaproteobacteria; Enterobacterales; Enterobacteriaceae.